Long non-coding RNA from Cyprinodon variegatus (sheepshead minnow), 370 nucleotides. RefSeq lists it as uncharacterized. The transcript has 4 exons. The record is from RefSeq and is a predicted model, not a curated record. Lineage: Eukaryota; Metazoa; Chordata; Actinopteri; Cyprinodontiformes; Cyprinodontidae.
AAUAUAUAAUGCAUUUUAGAUGUAUACAUAAUUUUCUCGUUGCGAGCACGAGGAGACCUGGAAGAUUUAAGGCCAAACUAGAAAACCAGACAACCAUCUCUUUUUAGAUUCUGGUCCAAUCCAACAGAAGGUGGACCUGGCACAACUACAGAAAAUGACCACAGCGUUGACCAGUAUGAACGUUCAGAUAUUGGAGAAACACAGAUAAAAGAUGAACAACAAGGACCGUGUUUCAAUGUAAAGACAACUGAAGAGCCGGCGCUCAACCAAGCGGAUUUGCCCCAAACAUCUUACGACGUAGAUAUUUUAAAGGCCAAGGACCGGAUUAGUGAAAUGGACGACUCUGGAAAAUUCCAACUUCUUCAGACCA